Oryza sativa Japonica Group (Japanese rice) is the source of this 206-nucleotide microRNA precursor. It matches the Rfam family "MIR812 microRNA precursor family". The record is from Rfam. NCBI's taxonomy places the organism in Eukaryota, Viridiplantae, Streptophyta, Magnoliopsida, Poales, Poaceae.
AAUACUUGUCGUUUUGAGUUUUUGUUUGUAACGUUUGAUCAUUCAUCUUAUUAAAGAGAUUAUGGAAUUAUUAUUUAUUUUGUUUGUGACUUGCUUUAUUAUCAAAAGUACUUUAAGUAUGACUUAUCAUUUUUAUAUUUGCACUAAUUUUUUAAAUAAGAUGAAUGGUCAAACGUUGCAAGCGAAAAGUUAGAAUGACAUCUAAU